AUAUUGGACAAUGGGGGCAACUCUGACCCAGCUAUGCCGCGGUUGUGAAGAAGGUCUUCGGAUUGUAAAGCAUUGUAAGUUGGGAGGAAGGGCUUUCGGGUAAUACCCUGAAGUUUUGACGUUACCAACAGAAUAAGCACCGGCUAACUCUGUGCCAGCAGCCGCGGUCAUACAGAGGGUGCAAGCGUUAAUCGGAAUUACUGGGCGUAAAGCGCGCGUAGGUGGUUCAGUAAGAUGGGUGUGAAAUCCCCGGGCUUAACCUGGGAACUGCUUUCAUAACUGCUGAGCUAGAGUACGGUAGAGGGUAGUGGAAUUUCCUGUGUAGCGGUGAAAUGCGUAGAUAUAGGAAGGAACACCAGUGGCGAAGGCGACUACCUGGACUGAUACUGACACUGAGGUGCGAAAGCGUGGGGAGCAAA
Molecule: ribosomal RNA, 419 nt
Filed under: uncultured bacterium
Lineage: Bacteria
Description: partial 16S ribosomal RNA
Rfam family: Bacterial small subunit ribosomal RNA
Source: RNAcentral